UACAGAGGGGGCAAGCGUUGUUCGGAAUUACUGGGCGUAAAGGGCGCGUAGGCGGCCUGUUAAGUCGAACGUGAAAUCCCCGGGCUCAACCCGGGAACUGCGUCCGAUACUGGCAGGCUUGAAUCCGGGAGAGGGAUGCGGAAUUCCAGGUGUAGCGGUGAAAUGCGUAGAUAUCAGGAGGAACACCGGUGGCGAAGGCGGGUCUCUGGGCAACUACUGACGCUGAGGAGCGAAAGCGUGGGGAGCGAACAGG
This 253-nucleotide ribosomal RNA is filed under the name uncultured bacterium. RNAcentral's name for it is "partial 16S ribosomal RNA". It matches the Rfam family "Bacterial small subunit ribosomal RNA", at positions 524 to 776 of the family's 1533-position model. The record is from RNAcentral.